UAAGAAAACUUAAAAAGUUCAUAUUUUAUUCUAAAACAUAUUUAAUGAGCUUAAUGUCCAACUAUUGUCACUUCUACAGCAGAAUGUUUGCCCACUAUGAACACUAUAUAAAUAGAAAAAGAAAAUAAUUAAAGCCGACAUCAGUAAUUAUCAGCCAAACAAAUGGUUACGGUGUGUGACUAUUGUGAACAAUUCUGGCUUCAAGCUUCUGGAUUGUCACUGAAAGACAUCAAGAAACUGCUCUACUGCAGCGAGUGUCCAGCGUAAAACAAAACCAGAUCUUACGUGAGCAUAAACACAUUCACAAACAGAAUUUCCUCAACGUCUGGACAGCAUUACGUGGUGUGUGGAGAGGACCCCGCCUCCCUCCACACAUCCCCUCGCCCUAAUUAUCGUCUGCAUCAUUGGAGACCGAGCGCUCUCAAGGACUCGUUUUAUCACUAAUGUGGCGGCAGCACAAACGCAGCGCCGCUCAGCCACAGUGACAGGACGACUUUCUGCAACAUGAAAUCUACAACGACACGACCGAUAAGAAGAGCAUAAAGGAGGCUUUUUUUAAUGUAACAUUUGAUUUUACAUGAUGAUGAUGAUGAUGAUGAUGAUGGACAACAAAAGACCGCUGUGGGAACUAUAAGCAGUGUUCACCACAAAUGACGGGGAGCUGAGUAUCAUGUGAUGGCGCUUUGAACUCUCCCCAUGAAGUCGGGAGAAGAAGGAAGCGCAGCGGAAACGCAGAGACCCACCCGAUAAACAGACAGACGGGGUAAUGUUGUCGAAGGCGUGCCCAGUCGCCGUGCCGACAGGAACAGGGCGUUGGGCAGCGUAUGAACCGUGGCAGGAAAACAACAGGAGCUGCUCACCAAAUACGUUUGUGUUGGCUGGAAGCUAGCUGCUGAUCUGCGGAGCCAUCGGGGGAGGAAGAGGGAUGCUGGGAAGAGGAAUAAUGAGGUGAGUUGAGCUGGAAGUGCUGUAAUAUGUUUGUACCUCCUCUCGUUUGCUCGCAGACGCUGCCAAGCAACCUGGAAACAUUUUCCAUGAUCAUUCAGAGGAAACAACCUCACCAUGAACCCAAAUUAAAGAGCCCAUAUUAUGCUCAAUUUACAGUGUGCAGUGUUAUUUUGGCAGUCCACAGAGAGAGUUUACCUCCUUUAAUGUUAGGGGGGGAGGGAAUAAAAUAAAAUAAAGCGGUUUUGCUGUUGCACAUCUUCUCACCAAUUAAUAACAUUCUUUGUUCCUAAAGGCCAAAAAAAAAAAACAUAAUUUGCCUCCCUAACAUUAUUAAUGGUAAAAAAAAAAACAAAAAAAAAACCUGUAUGAUAAAGACCACAGUCACAACCUUGUUGUGUUUUAUAGUCACAAUUGUGUUAUUGUUUGCAUUUUCUUAAAAGUGCAAACAAUAAAAUUCAAUGGCACGACAAUAUCUCGAAAAGGUGUUAUCGUAACAAUCUCGAUACUAUCACCGUCUUCAACGCAUAAGCAGACUCAGACCUGACUCUAAAGGAAGCAGAAAUGCUAAAGAUGAGUCAGGUAGUUUGGAAAGGAAAUGGCAUCAGCAAGAAGAGAUGGUAAUUGUUAGUCCAAAUUAAUUUAGUUCAUUCAGCGUUCACCGGUGGUUUCCUAUUGCUGGUGAUUCACGGCAUCCUGCAGUCACACUCAGUGCGUAAAAGAGCAGCAGCAUUAUGGCUGCAGCAGCAUUAUCAAGUACAGCCAGUAAAAUGAAAUGACGUGGAGCAAAGCUUCCUGUUUCAUGGUGAGUGAAACUAGAAAUCAGCAGGAAUUAUGAGACCCUUUCCAAA
Molecule: long non-coding RNA, 1796 nt
Organism: Poecilia latipinna (sailfin molly)
Lineage: Eukaryota; Metazoa; Chordata; Actinopteri; Cyprinodontiformes; Poeciliidae
Exons: 2
Source: RefSeq, a predicted model, not a curated record